UCUGUGAGCACCAACCACCCGCAUACGUUUGUUGUGCGCACACGCACCCACAAGCCCAAGCUAUUAUCAGCCAUUCUCGCUCUCCCUCACACACGUCGGUUUGCUGCCCUUAUUGUCUCCCCCCUUUUCCUCUCAUCUCUUUUUCGCUCACUUGCCUCUUUUUGAUAGAAGACACGCACGCAUUCACGGUACUUCACUGCACAGCCGCCCAUCUCUCGUACGAUUGUCUUGACUAUCUUCACAAACUGUGCCGAUAGAGAAUGGGGUGCUGCAACUCGAAGGAGACGAAGAAACCGAAGGAGGUGAAAGUGCCGCAGCCUGAGGCUCAGUCUGCGAAAGUGUCAAGUGAGACGGCGAGCGUGGAAGAGCAGCGCAAGAUUGAGUUUAGAGUGGCGAGUGCCGUGGAGGAUCUGCGCGCCGAGCGCAUUGAAGCCAUCUGCGCCCACAGCCGUGCCUGCCCGUACCGCUAUAACGCCUGCACUGUAGUGGGCGGAGAAGUGAAGUUCUACUUCGAGGGUGGCAUCAUUUUCUGCAUCGUGAAAGAAGGCUCGUGGUACGUCUACAACGACUCCCUUGACUACGAGGCGCAUGUGACCGUUCGCUUCGGCCCGGGCUCGAAUAUCGUCGCUGGAGAGCGGGCAGAGCUGGAGGAGGUAGAGGACGGCUGGACGUGCGCACACGCCGUCGUGUACCCGCUGGAAACGGUGCAUUUGGUCUCCGGCACCGCCAACGGAUACAGGACCAGCAUCACUAUCAAGCCCCUCGAUGGACAGUACCGCCACGAUGCGUGUGCAGCUGCCAACGGCACUGCUGAAGCGGAGACAGAGGCCGUUCGCUCUCUUGUAAGCGAAGGGAUGGACGAGGAGGCGAUUCUGCACCGCUGCAUGGAGACAGGAACGCCGUACGUCGACCUAAAGUUCCCGCCGAACGGCGAGGCGGUCGCACGCGCCGGCAGGGACACCCGCACCAUCCCCGAGAUGGCCAUGAUGCGCCCGACGCAGUACCUGUCGGAUAAUAACCGCCUUUCGGUGAACGACAUUUGCGGGCCAGUGCUGGCCUUGUCCAUCGAACCGGGUAACCUCGGCGACUCGUGGUUUAUGUGUGCUGUGGCCAUCAUGGCGGAGAAUGAGGCGGCGGUCCGAAACAUUUUUGCACAGGGCUCAUCGGCGGAGAAGGCGGUGGGUGCGUACCGCGUGCUGGUCAACAAAAACGGCUGGUGGCACACCCUCAUUAUGGACGACUACUUGCCCACGUUCAACUGCAUGCCCGUGUUUGCGCGCUCGUACGACAAUCCUGCGGAGAUGUGGACCUCGUUGUUGCAAAAGGCGUAUGCGAAGCUGCAUGGCUCCUAUGCCGCGAUCACUGGCGGCGACGCUCUACAGGCUCUCGCCGAUUUGAGCGGCUCGCCGAUGUGCCGUUUUGACAAGGAGUGGGAGGAGGCAACGACGGACGCGGGAAAGGCGGGCACACUGGCCAAUGCGCUGGUGCAGUUUUCCCGCUCUGGCGCCUGUGUUGUGCUCAGCACUCCAGGCCACAAUUCAGAGAGCUACCUGGGCCGCAGCCAGGCGAGCGAUGCGGCGGCGUUUCGCGCCCACUACAAGAAGGUUGGCUUACAUCUCGGCUACACGUACUCUUUAGAGCGCGUUGUGAUGGUCGAGGAGUGCAAUACCCUGCUGUUCAAGGUGCGCAACCCUUGGCGCUCGUCGAACAAGUGGACUGGAGCAUGGAGCUACGGUUCGAGGCAGUGGGAUGAGAAUCGGGAUGCCUGCCUCCUCUGCGGUGCCCAGAAGGACCCGCAGGAUGGCAGCUUCUGGAUGUGCUGGGAUGACGCCACCCGGUACUUCGACGGAGGCGGUGUUCUGUUUGCGAACCCCGACGCAACAGAUUACCGUGUGAAGGGCGUGUUUUGCAAGACGAUCCCAAGCGCGGUUCUUGAGAUCACGGCCUCGGAGUCCACCCGGGUGCUCUUCACCCUCUCGCAACCCGACAAGCGCGGCGUGGACCGCAAGGAGGGCGCGGCGCUUUUUGCUCCGAUUAUGCUCACUGUGUCCAAGGCGGAGGGCGGCGUGCAGCGGGUGCAGAAGAACACCAGCUGGAACCCGACGAUGCCCUCUGAGGAGUUCAACUUUGUUGUCGGCCGUGACGUCUCCAUGUGGUUCACGCUGGAGGCCGAGGAAAAGUACCAACUCGUGCCACGCAUGCACUUAAAGGGCGUCAGGAGCAACUACGAUCGACCGUACGUGAUCAGCAUAAUGUCGGCCGAUAAGUUGGAGGGCAACGUGCGGGUGGAAGCGAAACGCAUUGACAGCAGCUCGAAGGUGUUCACGAACUAUAUCGCCUACAGCUCGGAAGAGCUGCCGUCGGCCGAGGUGGAGAGCCAGGUGCGGCUUCCUGGCAAGGCCCCCGUGACGUACGUGUCCACCACGGUGAUUUGACCGCGUACCACCUGAAGUGCACGCGCUCCCCUACGCAGCAGGAGUCUCAGCGGCCGUAGCGGCGUGGUUGGUCGAGUUAUCAGCUUCGUAUAUGUUGCAGGGGACUGCAGCCGUGCGGUGAUGAUUUGUCGAUUGCGUGGUUGGACGUUAAGGAGAACAACUCUCCACAGCAAAGGAAAGGAAGGGCAGAGGCGAAGGCAGGUGAGCGUGUCUGCGAGAAGGACAGCGCCGAUGCAGGCGCCAAAGGUUCGUGGCGAGGGUCUUCACAUACACUCAAAAAGAUGAGUGCACUCACCUGCGUCUGCGUGAUGGGCCGCUCUCCUCCUUUGUCGGGUUCUCUCGUCGACUUUCUCCCUUCCUGUAGCGUUUCUCCUCUCUUUUCUCUCUGUGGUGUGUGAUGUGUGUGUAUCGAAGGCGAGCGUUUUCUAUGGUCCGUUUUGUGUAUGUAUCGUGUUCUGCCCUUUCCUCCCUCCCCCUUCUUCAUGUUACUCGGUGGAGCAGCGAAAUCACCUGCAAUGCUGUUGACUACUCAUCCCCCUUUAUGCCCAACCCCCCCCCCCAGAAAAAGGCGGUAGACACCGAUUUUCCCCUCCUCCCCCCUAUCGGUGCACACUCUCUCCAGGGCGUGUGUGUGUGCGCGCGCCACCUGUGCUGUGAACUCACUGUUGUUAUUGUUUUCCUUCCUUUUGCUCGCCCUCGUGUUUCGGUGCACCACUGAUCAAAAAGAUGUCCAUUCACCGAGACGCACCCCCACAAGGCGCUGGAUGAGUGACUUGACAGACAGGCAGCACACAGGCACACACGUACACAUGCGCGCCGCCACACAGUGAAGCCUCCUUCUCGUCCUCCAAACCUCUGCACAACUUUGGGAACAGCGGGGAGUAGGCCAGAGAUCUUAUCAAACAACAACUCGAAAAAGAAGGCCGCUUUUUUUUCACUUCUCUUCUUCGGUUCACUCCAUCGCAUGUGUGUGCGUGCACGUCUCCAGCUGUGCGGAUGCGGGGUCCAAUCUUACUUUGGUGCCUAUGAUUAUCUUCUGUUUGGUGUACCUCAUCGUAUCGUUGCUGCCGUUUGCAGUGUGUGAGGGGGGGGGGGCGGUGUCUUUAGACGAUGGGGCAACGGGUUGGGGGUGCGGCGGCGGUGCGCGGCUCGUUUUCCGUGUGGUUUCUUCUGUAUUUUUUUUGCCCCCCCCCCCCCCCCCCCCUGCCGCGGCUGCGCACUCUGCUGUACGGCCGUCGCAUAUAUCGCCAUGUCUCUUUCUCUGCCUCCCUCCGCCUUUUCCAGAGGUGCUGUGUGUGUGGAUGUGUGUCACGCCUUGCGCGCUCGUAUGCCUUGGGGAUGUUGUGGUGACUGCUUGGGGGUUCUUCGCCAUCUUGUUUCUGAAGCGUUCCUGGGAAGGUGGUUUCUCUGUUCUUUGUCUUUUUUAGCCUACUCUUUCCUGUACCGAUCCCAUGGGUGAUACGCAUCUGUUCCGUGACGACGUUGAUGGCCGCCAACCAAAUUUUGUAUGCCCGCCGUUUUUUUUUGUGUUUGUGUCAGUGUCGCGCUUUUUAGGGACUCCCUACGGCUCCUUUCGCAUAAAUUUCCACGCCUUUUGAGGUUGCUCUGUUUUCCUCUACGGCGUCCUCCGCUUCAUUGUCUACACCAAUCUCUGGAUUUUUCCCGAGGGGGGGCGAGCUCACGUGUUGGUAGUGCAUGCACUGAGGUCUCUUGAAGGGGAAGAGGAGGCAUGAAAGGGAAGGUGGGGUGAUAGAAGGAGGUGCCGAACGUGAGGGACCGAUGAGCGAAAAUGCAGUUUGCUGUCUUUUGUUUUUUGCGAGUUGGUGGAGUUUCACCGCUGCUUGCUGACUCUCAAGACACACAGCCCGCUCUCUUCUCCGUUUCCCCGCGCGCCUCUUUCUCUGUGCUUUCCUCUCUCGUCGUUCGUCUCCAUCUUUCCCUUCGCACACGUAGUGGCGUACCGCGGUGGGCGUGUGUGUGUGUCGUUGUCUGUGUCGCUGUACGUCUCCCUCCCUCUCCAUUUGUCUUUGUUUUUUUUUUUGUUUUCAUCUGGAUGUCUUCUCUUCUCUGUAGCCUGU
This 4513-nucleotide unclassified non-coding RNA is filed under the name Leishmania donovani. Its description in RNAcentral is "gene:LdHU3.31.0560(CDS-product:cytoskeleton-assoc iated_protein_CAP5.5_putative)". The record is from RNAcentral. Lineage: Eukaryota; Euglenozoa; Kinetoplastea; Trypanosomatida; Trypanosomatidae.